Molecule: ribosomal RNA, 211 nt
Filed under: uncultured Thalassiosira
Lineage: Eukaryota; Bacillariophyta; Thalassiosirophyceae; Thalassiosirales; Thalassiosiraceae
Description: partial Eukaryotic large subunit ribosomal RNA
Rfam family: Eukaryotic large subunit ribosomal RNA
Source: RNAcentral
UUGGAUUACGACUGAACGCCUCUAAGUCGGAAUCCAUGCUGGCUAAGCAGUGUUGUCCACCAUUUCCAUUGUUACAUGACAAGCAUUAGGUCUCGGCCCUGUUGCAUACGAACACUAUUACCGUGAAAGGUUUUGUGCUUAAUCUUAAUUUCCAACUUUGGAAGUGAUAAAUCUUUUGCAGACGACUUAACCGAAUCCAGGUAUUGUAAGU